Molecule: ribosomal RNA, 856 nt
Filed under: Gymnodinium impudicum
Lineage: Eukaryota; Dinophyceae; Gymnodiniales; Gymnodiniaceae
Description: partial large subunit ribosomal RNA
Rfam family: Eukaryotic large subunit ribosomal RNA
Source: RNAcentral
GGAUUCCAUUAGUAAUGGAGAAUGAGCAGAGGAUGAGCUCAACAUUGAAAUUGCGGCAUCAGGCUGUGAAUAGUAAUCUCGAUGAUGUACUGCUAGCGGGGGCGCGGAUGAAAUCGUCUUGGAAGAAGAGAAUCAUUGAGGGUGAGAAUCUUGUUUGUCACUCGCAGACCUCCGUGCACGGCGUAUGUUAUUAGAGUCACGUUCGUCGGGAUUGGAGCGCAAAUUGGGUGGUAAAUUUCAUCCCAAGCUAAAUAUGGGUUCGAAACCGAUAGCAAACAAGUACCAUGAGGGAAAGAUGAAAAGGACUUUGAAAAGAGAGUUAAAAGUGCCUGAACUUGAUGAAAGGAAAGCGGAUGGAACCAGUGUUGCUUGGUAAGAUUGUCGCGUGCUAAGGUGAUUCUCGCUGCGUCAGCGCAAGCGGUGCUGUGGGUUGGAUCCUUCCGCGCGCGAUGCUUCUUGCCUUGUGCGUCAUCGUCGGUUUGGAGGUGAGGACAACUCUUGGGACAUGGUAGCUUGCCCCUGGGCGAGCGAACGUGCCUUGUGGAACUCACCGCCAGACUGUGAAUAGAAUGUGUGGGAGCGUUGCUCGUCGCGCUGUCGCCCGUGGGAUAUAAGGCUGCGGCAGUGCGCGCGCGCACCUUUCACACACAACCAUGGUGACUAAAUGGUUCCAUUCGACCCGUCUUGAAACACGGACCAAGGAGUCUAACAUAUGUGCGAGUUCUUGGGUUUGAAACCUACGUGCGCAAUGAAAGUGAUUACUGAGAUGCUAGCAUCAGCAGCCGACCGAUCAAUUGGGAGAGGUUUGAGCAUGAGCAUAUCUGUUAGGACCCGAAAGAUGGUGAACUAUGCUUGU